GACGUAGGGCGCGAGCGUUGUCCGGAAUUAUUGGGCGUAAAGCGCGUGUAGGCGGGUCGGCAAGUCAGGCGUGAAAUCCCCAGGCUCAACCUGGGAACUGCGCUUGAAACUGCCGGUCUUGAGUGUCGGAGAGGGUGGCGGAAUUCCUGGUGUAGAGGUGAAAUUCGUAGAUAUCAGGAGGAACACCGGUGGCGAAGGCGGCCACCUGGACGACAACUGACGCUGAGACGCGAAAGCGUGGGGAGCAAACAGG
RNAcentral lists this ribosomal RNA (253 nucleotides) under uncultured bacterium. RNAcentral's name for it is "partial 16S ribosomal RNA". It matches the Rfam family "Bacterial small subunit ribosomal RNA", at positions 524 to 776 of the family's 1533-position model. The record is from RNAcentral.